Molecule: non-coding RNA, 555 nt
Filed under: Perkinsus marinus ATCC 50983
Lineage: Eukaryota; Perkinsozoa; Perkinsida; Perkinsidae
Description: Eukaryotic large subunit ribosomal RNA
Rfam family: Eukaryotic large subunit ribosomal RNA (bases 217-555)
Source: Rfam by way of RNAcentral
AUGGGAGGCUCUCAUGCAGUGACAACUCAACUUCUCUGAUACUGUGUCAUGAAUUCGUAUCAGAACUUCGAUAGUUCAUCACUGAAUCCUGAAAGACGGGAUCGAAUCUGAACAGGAAGGCGACUUGUUCUAGAUGCACCGGUCUAUCACCGCGAAGGCUAGCCAGAAUUCCACUGGUGCCUGACUAGAUAUUAGUUUUACCCCACUGACGAAGUAAAUGCUGCGACGGUAGUCGAAGUUAGUACGAGAGGAACACUUUCGUUGGUUAAUGCCGUUGUCUGAAAAGACAGUAUGGCGGAGUUACUAUCUGCUGGAUAAUCCAGCCUGGAUUACGACUCAAUGCCUCCAAGCCGGAAUUCAUGUUGGAUAAGCAGUGUUGUACUCAGGACCAAUGGCGUACAAACGGUCCCUGGGGAGGUACGCGAGUCAAAAAUCAUCGAUAUAAUGGGUACGCUGUGCUCGGAAAUUUCUCAGAAAAAUUUGUAGGAAAAAUUUUAUCCCACAAGUGCAAUAGGAGUCCCGCACUGUAGCCGACAGUCUGCAGGACAAGGGAAU